Molecule: ribosomal RNA, 384 nt
Filed under: Triticum aestivum (bread wheat)
Lineage: Eukaryota; Viridiplantae; Streptophyta; Magnoliopsida; Poales; Poaceae
Description: partial small subunit ribosomal RNA
Source: RNAcentral
AUGUGGAGGAAACACUUUCACAUUGAUUGCUAUGAAUGUGUACUAUGUGAUGAGACAUGUAUUGAGGACAAUGUGCAUAUGUUCUUCACUUGUGACUUUAGUCAAAACUUCUGGCUAUACUUGUGCAUGGAGUGGAACACUGACAUGAAUAUUAUAGAGAUGCUCAUCAAUGGUUGUAACAGGAUAAACUUCAUCUGAUUCAAAUAAAUCUUGAUCCCUGGAUGUUAGAGCAUAUGGAAUCACAUAAAUGGUAUUAUAUUUGAUAGCAAAGAUGUCAAUAUGGAUCAAUGCAUAUAUGCCUUCAAGGAAAGCUUCCAACUAGUGAUGAUCAAGGCCAAACCUAGUCUUAAAGAAGGAAUGCAGCAGUGACUUGACUCUUUGUAG